CGGGCUGUGGCUCAGUGGUAGAGCACUUGCCUAGCAUGUGCGAGACCCUGGGUUCGAACCUCAGCACCACAU
Ictidomys tridecemlineatus (thirteen-lined ground squirrel) is the source of this 72-nucleotide non-coding RNA. NCBI's taxonomy places the organism in Eukaryota, Metazoa, Chordata, Mammalia, Rodentia, Sciuridae. The record is from Rfam.